RNAcentral lists this ribosomal RNA (440 nucleotides) under uncultured bacterium. RNAcentral's name for it is "partial 16S ribosomal RNA". It matches the Rfam family "Bacterial small subunit ribosomal RNA", at positions 338 to 795 of the family's 1533-position model. The record is from RNAcentral.
CCUACGGGGGGCAGCAGUGGGGAAUAUUGCACAAUGGGGGAAACCCUGAUGCAGCGACGCCGCGUGAGUGAAGAAGUAUUUCGGUAUGUAAAGCUCUAUCAGCAGGGAAGAAAAUGACGGUACCUGUUUAAGAAGCCCCGGCUAACUACGUGCCAGCAGCCGCGGUAAUACGUAGGGGGCAAGCGUUAUCCGGAUUUACUGGGUGUAAAGGGAGCGUAUACGGCAGCACAAGUCUGGAGUGAAAUGCCGGGGCUUAACCCCGGAACUGCUUUGGAAACUGUGCGGCUAGAGUGCAGGAGAGGUAUGUGGAAUUCGUGGUGUAGCGGUGAAAUGCGUAGAUAUUAGGAAGAACACCGAUGGCGAAGGCAGCUUACUGGACUGUAACUGACGUUGAGGCUCGAAAGCGUGGGGAGCGAACAGGAUUAGAUACCCUAGUAGUC